This 334-nucleotide unclassified non-coding RNA is filed under the name uncultured Glomerales. Its description in RNAcentral is "sequence contains 18S rRNA gene". Lineage: Eukaryota; Fungi; Glomeromycota; Glomeromycetes; Glomerales; Glomeraceae. The record is from RNAcentral.
CCCAACUAUCCCUAUUAAUCAUUACGUCAAUCCUAGAAACCAACAAAAUAGGAUCAAACGUCCUAUUUCAUUAUUCCAUGCUAAUGUAUUCAAGCGUUAGCUUGCUUUAAACACUCUAAUUUUUUCAAAGUAACAGUCCUGUUUCCCUGCAACACCAAAUUAAUGGCAUUACAGUUCUUCAGAAAGGAGGAACCAGCGAGACCAGUACGUACCAAAGGCACGACCAACCUGCUGAUCCCGAAAUUCAACUACGAGCUUUUUAACUGCAACAACUUUAAUAUACGCUAUUGGAGCUGGAAUUACCGCGGCUGCUGGCACCAGACUUGCCCUCCAA